Molecule: unclassified non-coding RNA, 233 nt
Filed under: plant metagenome
Description: partial contains small subunit ribosomal RNA, internal transcribed spacer 1, and 5.8S ribosomal RNA
Rfam family: Eukaryotic small subunit ribosomal RNA (bases 1-54)
Source: RNAcentral
GAAAGUAAAAGUCGUAACAAGGUUUCCGUAGGUGAACCUGCGGAAGGAUCAUUCAUAAUAAAGUGUUUUAUGGCACUUUUUAAAAAUCCAUAUCCACCUUGUGUGCAAUGUUAGAUCUCGUCAAUCUUGGCGAGAUUUUUAUACAUCAACUCAUUCUUUAACUAAUUUGUCUGAAAAGUAUUAUGAAUACUUAAUUCAAAAUACAACUUUCAACAACGGAUCUCUUGGCUCUC